This 1120-nucleotide non-coding RNA is filed under the name Cucumis sativus (cucumber). RNAcentral's name for it is "Eukaryotic small subunit ribosomal RNA". It matches the Rfam family "Eukaryotic small subunit ribosomal RNA", at positions 640 to 1831 of the family's 1831-position model. The record is from Rfam by way of RNAcentral. Lineage: Eukaryota; Viridiplantae; Streptophyta; Magnoliopsida; Cucurbitales; Cucurbitaceae.
UACCAUAUUGAUAUGUGGUGUUUGCAUGUCGGAACUCAACGCUCGCUUCUUUUGUUUUUCCUAUUUUGUGAUUAUUAAUGUAAGUUGUAUGAAUAGAAAACUAGAACGAGGCUACUUGAUAGAUUUUUAGAGAUAAACAUUAUCUUAACGGAUUGGGUCAUACCUCCGAUGUUACUUUUAAGAAAUUAAAGUGCCCAAAGCAAGUUUACUCUUUGUAUACAUUAGUGGGAUAAAAUCAUUGAAUUUUGAUACUAUUCUGUUGGCCUUUGGACCAGAGCAAUGAUUAAUAGGGAUAGUUAGGGGCAUUCAUAUUUUGUAGCCAAAGGUGAAGUUCUUGGGUUUAUUAAAGAUGAACAAUUGGUAAUGCAUUCCCUAAGUAUGUUUUCAUUAAUAAAAAGUAAAAGUUGAUGAGUUGAAGAUGAUCAAAUACCUUCCUACUUUUAACCAUAAAUGUGUUGUGUAAGGAUCAAAAGAUGUUGCUUUAAGGACUUUGCUAACGCCUUAUGAGAAAGAAAUCAAAGUCCUUGGGGUCCAAGGGAAGUAUGGUUGCAAGGUUGAAAAUUAAGGGAUUAUGACAGAGGGCACCACCAGGAGUAGAGCAUGUGACUUAAUUUGAUUCAACAUGGAAAAACUUACUACGUCUAGACAUACUAAAGAGUGAUAGACUAAAAGCUCUUUUUUGAUUCUAUGGGUGGUGGUGCAUUGUCUUUUUCAGUUGGUGGAGUGAUUUUCUAGUUAAUUUCAAGAGACUUCAACCUGCUAACUAGGUAUGCGAAGGUACCCCUUUGUGACCACUUCUUAGAGGGACUAUGACCACUUAGUUUAAGGAAGUUUGAGACAAUUAUAGGUUUAUGAUGACCCAUUACAAUGAUGCAUUUAAACAUUCAACCUUGGUUGACUUCAAAUAAUCUUGAAAUUUCAUCAUAAUGGGGAUAAAUUCUUGCAAUUGUUGGUGUUCAACUAGGAACUCUUAGUAAGCAUGAGUCAUCAGCUUGAGUUGACUACAUCCAGGCCUUUUGUACACAUAGCUUGUCUUAGAAAGUCCUCUUAACCCUUAUCAUUUAGAGGAAGGAGAAGUCAAAACAAGGUUUUCAUAAGUGAACUUGCUCAAAAAUCGUUG